Molecule: long non-coding RNA, 3272 nt
Organism: Macaca fascicularis (crab-eating macaque)
Lineage: Eukaryota; Metazoa; Chordata; Mammalia; Primates; Cercopithecidae
Source: Ensembl
UGGGGAAGUAUACCCCUCUCUUAAGGAAGCCUUGCAAGUCAUGUGACAAUGAAACGGGAGAGUUCCCUGAUUUCCCCGUUUUCCCCGCCCUUUGCAGGACAUGCAACAGGGCUGUGGCUGGUGUGUUCGGUCUCUGCCCUGCUGAAACCCCUUAUGGGAGGUGGAGCAUGCAGACGGACGGGUGCAGGAGCUGGGGUGCAAAAGCUGGGGCGCUAGGCUUCCAGCCCCAUUGCAGUGUCCGGGGGCAGGAGCCUGUGAUUCCUGGAGCCCAAAUGGGCUUGUGUUACAGUGUGCUCUUUUAGCCUUACCAUCAGCGGACGGCUUAAGUGUUAACCAGCUCAAUAGACCCUCUGCAUUUUUGCAAGCGCAGAGGGUCAGUCUGACAGCUUUCUGUAUCUCGAGCUCUUGUCCCCCCUCCCAGAAAAAUCAGGUCACACAUGGACUUGAAGGAUAGUGAAUGCUGGUGAAGUAGAGUAGUGGGGUGGGGGUUAUUAGGUGGUAGGGGUGGCAGUCAGUGGGAUGGAUGGGGAACUGGAAAGGGCAUGGAGUAGGAAGAUGAUCUUCCCCUGGAGUUUGACCGUCCAGUGGUGGAUUCUCUGACUGUCCCCAGCUGAACUCCUCCUAACAUUCCUUCUCUUUACCUGCCGCUCUUCUGCUCUUCUGUUCAUCUGCUCAUCUUUUGCUGCUGGAGCCUGGUUUCUGGAGUUUAUUUGCGUACAGGAUAGGGGGUCAUGGAGGGCCAAAAGGUAACUUUUGGGCACAAGGGCAGGAAUGCCUCCCUUCAUUUAGGGCCAUGGGUUUCCAGGCUUGAGGGUGGGGCCUUUGCCAGGGAACUGCCUUAUUCUACCCAGUAGUUCCCUGUCUUCUGUCCCUAUCAACAAUAAGUGAGCUGAAUAAUACUCUUAAAAGGAGGACGAGAAAUAACUGGGUAGAAUAAUACAAUCCACCUUUCCAAUAAUGGUUUCGGAAGAAGAAACUGGUUGGGUGUCUUCAAAGGCAGGGGUCCCCAACCCCGGGGCCAUGUAUCAGUACCCUUUGUACCCUGUUAGGAACCAGGUGGCACAGCAGGAGAUGAGUAAGGGGCAAGCAAAAGAGGGAAGCUUCAUCUGUAUUUACAGCCGCUCCCCAUGACUAGCAUUGCCGUCUGAGCUCCACCUCCUGUUACAUCAGCUGGGGCAUUAGAUUCUCAUAGGAGCACAAUUGUGAACUAUGUGCAUUCAAGGGAUCUAGGUUGUGUGCCCCUUAUGAGAAUCCAAUGCCUGAUGAUCUGUCACUAUCUCCUAUCAUGCCCAGAUGGGCCCAUCUAAUUGCAGGAAAACAAACUCAGGGCUCCCACUGAUUCUACAUUAUGGCGAGUUGUAUAGUUAUUUCAUUAUAUGUUACAGUGUAAUAAUAAUAGAAAUAAAGUGCACAAUAAAUGUGAUGUGCUUGAAUCAUCCCAAACCCAUUCCCCACCCCUGUCCAUGGAAAAAUUGUCUUCCAUGAAACCAGUCCCUGUUGCCAAAAAGGUUGGGGAUUGCUGUUCAAAGGGAUGAUUUUGCAAUGUGAAGGCCAACUAUUAGGUUACUACUGUUCUUCAGGCCCAAAGGACACUUUAUAGCUGUGGACAUCUGAUAAAAAGAAAAGUAAUGAGUAUACUGUUGGUGGGAAUGUAUAUCCAGACACCCAUUAUGGAAAACAGUACGGAGGCUUCUCAGAAAACUAAAGAUAGAACUGUCAUAUGAUCCAUCAAUCCCACUACUGGUUAUUUAUCCAAAGGAAAGGAAAUCAAUGUAUCAAAGGGAUCCUUGUACCCCCGUUUAUAGCCACACUAUUCACAAUAGCCAAGAUAUGAAAUCAACCAAAGUCUAUAAACAGAUCAGUAAAGAAAAUGUGAUAUAUAUACACAAUGGAAUACUAUUCAGCCAUAAAAAGCAAUGAAAUCCUGUCAUUUGCAGCGACAUGCAGGGAACUAAAGGCCAUCUUGUUAAGUUAAAUGAGUCAGACACAGAAAGGCAAAAAUCACAUGUUCACACUCAUGUGGGAGCUAAAGAAGUUGAUCUCAUGGAGGUAGAGAGCAGAAGGGUGUAGGAGUAGGGGAGUGAAGACAGGUUGGUGAAUGGGUACAAGCAAAUGGAUAAGAUGGAAUAAGUUCUAGUUUUUGAUAACACAGAAGGGUGACUAUAGUUAGCAACAAUACAUUGUAUUUCCAAAUAACUAGAAGAGAAGAUAUUUUUCUUUCUUUUUUUUUUUUUUUUUUGAGAGGGCUCUUGCACUGUUGCCCAGGCUGGGGUACAGUGGUGCAAUCUCGGCUCACUGAAAGCUCCGCCUCCUGGGUUCACGCCAUUCUCCUGCCUCAGCCUCCCAAGUAGCUGGGACUACAGGCGCCUGCCACCACGCCCGGCUAACUUUUUUGUAUUUUUAGUAGAGAUGGGGUUUCACCGUGUUAGCCAGGGUGGUCUCAAUCUCCUGACCUCAUGAUCCGCCCGCCUCUGCCUCCCAAAGUGCUGGGAUUACAGGUGUGAGCCAGUGCACCCGGCCGAAGAGAAUAUUUUUUUCUAUGAGUUUGACUUUAAUUUCUAAGAUUCCACAUAUACUUGAGAUCAUGCAGUAUUUGUCUUUUUGUGUCUGCCUUAUUUCACUUAGCAUACUCUUCUCUAAGACAUCUAUGUUGUUGCAAAUGGUAAGAGUUCCUUUUUCUUUAAGGCUGAAUAAUAUCCGUGUGUGUGUGUGUGUGUGUGUGUGUGUGUAUACACCAGUUUCUUUUUUUAUUCAUCAGUUGAUGGACACUUAGAUUGUUACCAUAUCUUUUGGCUUCUGUAAAUAAUGCUGCAAUUAACAUGGGACUGCAGAUACUUCUUGGAGAUAGGGUUUUUAUUUCUUUUGGAAAUAUACCCAAUAGUAGUAUUAGUGGAUCAUAUGGUAGUUCUAUUUUUAAUUUUUUGAGGAACCUCUAUACUAUUUUUCAUAAUGGCUGCACCAAUUGACGUUUCCACCAACAGGGUAAAAGUGUCCCCUUUUCUCGAAUGCUCACCAACACUUGCUGUCUUUUGACUUUUUGAUAAUAGCCAUCCUAACAAGUGUAAGGUGAUGUCAUUUUGACUUGCAUUUCUCUGCUAAUUAGUGAUGUCGAGUAGAAGAGAAGAUUUAAAAUGUUCCCAAUACAAAGAAAUGAUAAAUGUUCAAGGUGAUGGGUAUCCUGAUAACCCUGACGAUCAUUACACAUUGUAUGCAUGCAUCAAAAUAUCGCAUGUACCCCGUAAAUACGUACAAAUAUUUUGUAUCAAUAAAAA